This 255-nucleotide ribosomal RNA is filed under the name uncultured bacterium. RNAcentral describes it as "partial 16S ribosomal RNA". It matches the Rfam family "Bacterial small subunit ribosomal RNA", at positions 524 to 776 of the family's 1533-position model. The record is from RNAcentral.
UACGUAGGGGGCGAGCGUUGUCCGGAUUUAUUGGGCGUAAAGAGCUCGUAGGCGGCUUGGCAAGUCGGGUGUGAAACCUCCAGCUCAACCUGGAGACGCCACUCGAUACUGCCAUGGCUAGAGUCCGGUAGGGGACCACGGAAUUCCUGGAUGUAGCGGUGAAAUGACGCAGAUAUCAGGAGGAACACCGGUGGCGAAGGCGGUGGUCUGGGCCGGCACUGACGCUGAGGAGCGAAAGCGUGGGUAGCAAACAGG